This 113-nucleotide ribosomal RNA is filed under the name Comatermes perfectus. Lineage: Eukaryota; Metazoa; Arthropoda; Insecta; Blattodea; Kalotermitidae. The record is from RNAcentral.
AACGGCCAUACUAUGUGGAAACCACCGGUUCUCGUCCGAUCACGAAAGUUAAGCAACAUUGGGUGUGGUUAGUACUUAUAUGGGUGACCGCUUGGGAACACCACGUGCUGUUG